UGGAAGUAAAAAAUCGUAACAAGGUCUCCGUUGGUGAACCAGCGGAGGGAUCAUUACUGAGUUUACGCUCUACAACCCUUUGUGAACAUACCUACAACUGUUGCUUCGGCGGGUAGGGUCUCCGCGACCCUCCCGGCCUCCCGCCUCCGGGCGGGUCGGCGCCCGCCGGAGGAUAACCAAACUCUGAUUUAACGACGUUUCUUCUGAGUGGUACAAGCAAAUAAUCAAAACUUUUAACAACGGAUCUCUUGGUUCUGGCAUCGAUGAAGAACGCAGCGAAAUGCGAUAAGUAAUGUGAAUUGCAGAAUUCAGUGAAUCAUCGAAUCUUUGAACGCACAUUGCGCCCGCCAGCAUUCUGGCGGGCAUGCCUGUUCGAGCGUCAUUUCAACCCUCAAGCUCUGCUUGGUGUUGGGGCCCUACAGCCGAUGUAGGCCCUCAAAGGUAGUGGCGGACCCUCCCGGAGCCUCCUUUGCGUAGUAACUUUACGUCUCGCACUGGGAUCCGGAGGGACUCUUGCCGUAAAACCCCCCAAUUUCCAAAGGUUGACCUCGGAUCAGGUAGGAAUACCCGCUGAACUUAAGCAUAUCAAUAGCCGGGAGGAA
RNAcentral lists this ribosomal RNA (602 nucleotides) under Colletotrichum gloeosporioides. Its description in RNAcentral is "eukaryotic LSU rRNA". The stretch from base 229 to 382 matches the Rfam family "5.8S ribosomal RNA". Lineage: Eukaryota; Fungi; Ascomycota; Sordariomycetes; Glomerellales; Glomerellaceae. The record is from RNAcentral.